CCUACGGGAGGCUGCAGUGGGGAAUAUUGCACAAUGGGGGAAACCCUGAUGCAGCGACGCCGCGUGAGUGAAGAAGUAAUUCGUUAUGUAAAGCUCUAUCAGCAGGGAAGAAAAUGACGGUACCUGAGUAAGAAGCCCCGGCUAACUACGUGCCAGCAGCCGCGGUCAUACGUAGGGGGCAAGCGUUAUCCGGAUUUACUGGGUGUAAAGGGAGCGUAGACGGCAGUGCAAGUCUGGAGUGAAAGUCGGGGGCACAACCCCCGGACUGCACUGGAAACUGUACGGCUGGAGUGCAGGAGAGGAAAGUGGAAUUCCUAGUGUAGCGGUGAAAUGCGUAGAUAUUAGGAGGAACACCAGUGGCGAAGGCGGCUUACUGGACUGUAACUGACGUUGAGGCUCGAAAGCGUGGGGAGCAAACAGGAUUAGAUACCCCAGUAGUC
Molecule: ribosomal RNA, 440 nt
Filed under: uncultured bacterium
Lineage: Bacteria
Description: partial 16S ribosomal RNA
Rfam family: Bacterial small subunit ribosomal RNA
Source: RNAcentral